GUUCAAUCUCACCGACAGAAAUGUAAAAUGAGGCAACCAGGAGGAAGUGACAUAUACAUUUUCUUACAAAGACAGAAAAGAUUCAAUCUGAUGAAACAUUAGUUCAUUGGGCUGACUGACAGAGAGCAGCAUGUCUGGUUUCAGAUGGAUUUCACUGUUUCUGAUGCUGAUUCAUUUACCAGUCAUAACUGGACAAUAUAUCCGCUUCACUGUCAGGAUAGGAGGUGAUGUCAAGUUGCCUUGUGGAAAAGUGAUACAGGAGCAGGAUAAAUGCGACCGCACUACCUGGAGCUUCCGUCAUUUUACCAGCGCAUCAGUGAAUCUCGUUCGUUUUGGGCGGGUUCUGGAAACAGCCAUAGCUAAAUCCGACAGACUGAGUGUCACAGAGAACUGUUCUCUGGUUGUUACGAAGGUGACAGUCGAGGAUGGUGGUCUCUACACCUGCAGACAGUUGGAAUCAGGAAAACAUAAAGACACUCACGUUCACCUGUUCGUCAUUAUCAGUGAGUAUUUACAUCACAUUACAGUGAUGAAGUUUUUGUUUUGGCUGUUAUUGAUUUUAAUGAUAUCUACGUUGUUACCAGUGAGUGAACGUCAGGAGGCUGAUAAAGUUACAUUAAACUGCUCUGUGUCGACUCCUGGAUGGUGUGACCAGACACUGAAGUGGCUGUAUGAGGACGCCUAUGUGGAUAAAUACAACAAAGACAUGAAGAUUUCAGGGUCCGGGUGCUCGGUGACCGUGACAUUUGCUUCCUCUUUCCUGAAGCGUCAUCGGUCGUUCAAAUGUGAAUUGACAGAUAUUUACAGCACAGCAAAGGAGCAGUUUCCAUUCAGCCGUCAGUCCUCAGGUGAGAUCACGAUGAGCUUACAGUGCCUGUUUUGGUGGACAAUCAUGGACGGAGAUGGUUUGACUUCCUGCGAAAAGUAGCGGGAAACAGCUGGCAGUACUGUUUAGCAGUGAAUGUUUCUGCAAACGACAGACACGUCCAAGGUUGUCAUUUGUACCAAAUGCAUAAGGAAUAUCACCUUGACAUUACACGAUUAUUGGUGAGUUAAAUUCAGGUUAAUUUCAGAGUCAUUCACAGCUGGUUUUUGAGGCAUCAAAGUCAGCUUCUUCUUUUUUUUUUUUUUUUUUUUUGAGGAGCCACAGAGACAUUUUCAUCCAUUUUUGUGGCAUCAAAAAUUGGCUGUUAUACGUAGAAAGAUGGACCAUCUCCUUCCUUGACCAAAACAAGCAUUUAAAGCCAAACCGUGAUGUUUUCCUAACCCUAACCAAGUGGUUUUUGUGCCUAAACCAAACCAGAGCAUAAACACAGCAUUGUGAAUGUUCAACCUAGAUAAACAGAAAGUUGCAGCAUAAAGCGAUAUUCAGUUUUACCUUAUCAAUGGUUUUAUCGAAAUGUACGUGGCUUACAUUUAUCCUGGCAAUUGGGUGUCCUUAUUGAUACACAGGGAUGUAACUGCAGUCCGCAGCCUUGCAGGAUGUAAAAGUUGACUAAUUAGCAUAUACUGUGAAUGCAAUGUGCUACAUUUUGCACAGUUGAACCUUGGAUGUAUCUGCGGUUUGCAGUGACCUUCACUGCUAACGUUAUAUCCUGGUGACGGGGCUGUGUUGGUUUUUGUCUUUUAAUUUGUCAGGCGAAGAUGCAACAACAACCAGAUCGAAAUCAACAGCGGAACCAACAAGAAAGACCUCAGCAACGUCAACGUCGACAGCAGGACAGACAACAACACCAACGUCAUCAACUUCAACACAAGGAGGCGAGAAACAAACAAGAUUAUUCAUGUUUCAAGAGUAGUUCAUACACAUUUGUACAAUAGUGCAGAUUUGGUUAAAAAUGUGGAUUUGCAACAUUUACCAAUGUUUUUGUUUUCCCAUCACCCAACACUCCCACACUGUUUUGAAAACUACUGUGUUUCC
Molecule: long non-coding RNA, 1921 nt
Filed under: Sparus aurata (gilthead seabream)
Lineage: Eukaryota; Metazoa; Chordata; Actinopteri; Spariformes; Sparidae
Description: lncRNA (ENSSAUG00010019438.1)
Source: RNAcentral